CGCGUGCUUUGCUUGAUGGGCAGGAAACUCUGUGUGUAUAGUUGACAUGAUAAGAGUAAUAUUAAAGUUAAGAUAUACCUCUAGGUUUUAUCAUUAAAACAGGUCUUUGUGAAGUUUGUUUGGUGUAUUUUUUUUUUCUUUUCUUCACAGAGCUGAAUGUCAUGGUGAUUGUGAAACACGAGACCGAAACACUUCGCCUGUAUGGUUUUAUGGUGAAAUUUAUUAUUUUAGUGUUAACUCAGGUCUAUUUUGAUUAUGAACCAAACACUUCUCUGCUCCUGCUAUGCGCGCUGUGUGAAUGACGCCCAUUUCUCCGAGUUUUUUUUUUUUUUCCUUGGAGAUUUUAUUAUCUAGUAGGAGGAACAAAUACCAGGAGUGCUUGAGAUACCAGUGAAAGGGCUGAAGUGUUUGAGGACGUGAAGUAACGGUCAGCUGGAGACUGAUUUUCUCUGGGAAUUUAAUAUACAUCACCAUUAGACUUAGAAAGCAGCUACUUGCGGUUUUCUAACAUGCAGCUAAACUGGACACUUCUUUUGGGUCUCUUUCUGCCAUCAUGCAGUGGAUGUUCCAUUGGAUUUAAACUUGUUAAAAACACAUGUGUUGGUAAUGUUGUCUUUGUGGUUUGAUUGAAUAGUGCAAAAGUAACAGUUUGACUGUUACAAUGUUUUUAAUGGUCUGUAUGUCACUGAAAAGAGGGAGUUUGUGUUACGUGGAUUCCCCUCAUCUGUCUGCCUCUCUUACAGAUGUGGAUGAGUGUGCGAUUUUUCCAAGUGUGUGUGAUUAUCAUACUCCGUGUGUAAAUACAGUUGGAAGUUACUACUGUAGGUGUAUUGAAAGAGUAGAUGGGGGCUUCCCGUGUGCAUGUAUGAAGCAUUUAAUUAUUCAUUUAGCAUAAACUUUGAUCCAAAAUGAAUUAUAAUUCAUGCCAACUGCUGUCUUUCCCCCUGUCAGAUAUAAACAGUUAUCCAGAGAGCGACUACUAUGCCGACUUUGAUUUAAUCCAGUUUAAGAUCUCAACUGACUCCGAAGCAGAAUGUGAAGGUGUCUUUUAUUUUUUCUGGCCUAUGUGUUAAACAAAAGCUACCAGUUUGGACUGUAUAAUGCUGAUGCUGCACUGAUGCCAACACCAACAUCGCAUCAAAUCAGCUAAAUGGAUUGUGAUCAUUUUGAACCUACAACACACUAGAGAAGUUGAAGCAUUUGAUGUUACUGUUGAAGAGCGUCUCUGAAUGAUCCACGUGGAGAACAUUUCACUGGAGAGGAGUUACUGGAGGUCAAUCACACACUGAACGAUAUAAAUUCAUAUAGAAGUAUGUAAGCAGAAAGCAUAUUUCGAGAACAAUCAGAUGGCCUAAACAACAGGUUAAAUAUUAGCUUCUUGCUGUUGCAAAUUUACCAAGUACCAGUACUUGCAGUACAACCAAUAGCUAAAAGAAACAAGCAGGUCUAGCAACAAACAUGAUACUGAGCACUAGAUAAGCCCUAAAAGCAAGCAAAAUCCCAAUACCCUAACAGCUUUAAAGCAAAGACCUUCUGAAAUAGCGUAGACUGCGGCAGCAUGCCCUUUAAGAAGAAGAGAAGCAGCGAAGGGGUGCUCUUCUUUAAUCAGCAGCUAAUCUAUGGUCAAUACCCGACGUUUAGGCAGCAGCAUGUUGCCCUUAUCCAGAUAAUCGUUAGCAUUAAUAACCUUUGGUAGCAAAAUCUACAUACUGCCCGU
RNA transcript from Onychostoma macrolepis, 1717 nucleotides. It is a transcript of the gene named epidermal growth factor-like protein 6, with no coding region annotated. The record is from RefSeq and is a predicted model, not a curated record. The transcript is spliced from 4 exons. NCBI's taxonomy places the organism in Eukaryota, Metazoa, Chordata, Actinopteri, Cypriniformes, Cyprinidae.